RNAcentral lists this long non-coding RNA (1041 nucleotides) under Equus asinus (donkey). RNAcentral's name for it is "lncRNA (ENSEASG00005024349.1)". The record is from RNAcentral. Lineage: Eukaryota; Metazoa; Chordata; Mammalia; Perissodactyla; Equidae.
GUCAGGCAGUCCUGCAUGAUCCAGCCUCUGCUUCGCCUCUGGCCUCAUGUCUUGCCAGCCUCUCCAUCACUCCAUCUGAUGCUCUGGCCUCCGGGGUCCUCCCAGGCCAACUCUUGUUAGCCAGGUCUCGGCUCAAGUGUCCUCUCCUCCAAGAGGUCCCCCUCCACUUGCCUCUCAUCUCCCCUCCCCCACGUUCUCUAUGACGCUUGCCUCAGGUGUGACAGUAUGUUUAUAUGUUGUCCUUUUUACUGUCUUUCUCUUUCUAGCCUAGAGCUUGGCAUUGAAUAAAUAAUUGUUGAAUGAGUGAGUGAAUGAAUGAAUGAGCAGGUGUGCCAGAUCCCGCAGGGCCUUGCUCACCACGCCAAGUGCAAUCCUGGAGUUGGGAGGGCCGGAAGGAUUUCAAAUAAGGCCGCAACACCAUGACCAGAACUGUGUUGUUAAAAGGGCUUCCUGUCACCCCGUGAGGGGGGAGGAGAGAGGGAGGCAGGAGACCAGAGGAGAGGCCGUCGUGGUCUCCUUUCCCUCUCCCCUCUUCCCCUCCAGGCCUCACCCCUCCAAAAUGGGGUUUUGUCAGCUCAGAGCCCGGUUCCUCAUGAACUGUCACUGUAAACAGCCCAGAGGCCAGGAAGAAGAUUCUUUUUUAUUAUUUUUUCCUCCUUGAAAGACUAGCUUAAUGAAAAACUGCCGCACUGGGGGAGAGAAGAGAGAGGCCCUGCACGCCCGAGCUGAGGGGGGCGCUCGGCUCCUCUAGACAGAGCGGAGGCCCAGAGAGGGAUUCCCGCUGGCCGGGAGCAUCCCUGUGCACCUCAGGGCGGGUGCUGGACGCACAUUGUGCUUGAAAGAGUGCACACCGGGAGUGUCCUCGUCUCGUCUCGGAGCAGUCUGGCCCUGAAGGAAGGGAGGGCUCUGCAGGAAGCACACUGAGCCUUUGUGGGGCAGGAGGAAAACCCAGGGGCACCUAGAAACUCAGAAGGACUGUCUCGAGGGAGGUUGGGUCCUGUGAGGAGGUGUGGGGUCCUUGUGCGGACUCCUGAGGUAGAG